CCAGUCAAAUGAUAAUUUUUAAACAAAAAAUUGUGUAAUGUCCAUUAACAAAAGGACCUAAGAGCCAUGUGUUACAAUUGCUAUAACCUAAAAACAGUUUCUAAACUUAACUGUCAGCCCCACUGCUUAUGCUUCGAUUGUACAGGCCUUUGAAUAUAUAUAUUUUGAUUAUAUGUUUUGAUUAAAGUUUGUUCUUGCCUAGAAAGCGCCAAACCCCAAGGCAUCAUACAGAUGAAAACAAUAACAAAUAUGCUAAUUUCCUUUUAGAUUCCUUUAAUUGGGAUCCACCAGAUCUUUUCCAGAAAAAGGUGAUAUGAUGCAUAUUGGGGCCAUAAUCAACUGGCCUUGAAUGACAGACACCACGGCUUAGCUCUCUCCUAAAUAAAAAAGAUUCAUCGCAAAUUGAUCUACUUGGACCUGCUCCUGAAGACCGAUGGGGCUCAGGGACCACAGACCCCAUUAAGGUAUCCUUCUCAGAGCCCCAAGUCCCACUGGAGGUUUCAGGUAAGACAGUCUCUGUACUUGUGGACAUACAGGCCAUGUAUAGGAUUCUUCUUGAGUUUUCAAGCCAUUAUAUUAAAUCCUCAGUCUCUGUCACUUUUGGCUGUAGUGGCACCAAUGGCAUCAAACACAGCCUAGAAAAUGACAGAGUGAGCUAACUAUUAAUUUACUAUUUUUAAUCAUAUGAACUAGAUUUGUGGUUAUAUAAUAGAGUCUAAACAAACUAGAAAUGUAUAUAUAGUGUACAAGUCAUCAGUAUGCCGAUUUUCCCUCAGAGGUUAAAAUUUAAAAUGAGUUAAGAACAGAAUAGAGAAGUAGAGGAAGAGAAAGAGAUCAGAAGUAAGGUUGGGGAACAAAGGGAGAUCACACUAAGCUUGGGGAAUUGCUGCUGAAGACAGGAGGGAAAAAGAGAAGAAAGACAUAAAAAGAAAAACAUACUAGAACAACAACCACCAAGAGGCUAAAACAGACUCAUGUAAAAGUAAGAUCAAACAAUGGAGGGAAAACCAAAGACUAAAUCACCACCACUAUAACAAAAAACAACAUGGAGAGAGGAAAAAACAGACAAGAAGAGAAUAGAAAAAGUCCGCUUCCAGGAUUGUUUCUGCUUUCACUGAUAGACAGUGUGUGACAACAGAGUCCUGAUCCAUUGCUGUCCAGCCCAGCAAGCCAGAAGAAGCUUUUUAUUGGGGCAGUGGAUAGUCUCAGUGAGCCUGCACUUUCUGGCUAAGAUCAGACUCAUGCGGCCUGCAGCUCUCUGCACACCUUCUGUGGUCCUGAGUCCGGAUGGGAGCCGCUAGAUGGAGCCAGCAGCAGCUCUGAGUUCUGAGGUCAGCCAGCCCCUCUCUUAGAUGGUCCCAGGCCAAUUGUUCUCUCACUACAGGGUGACUGAGCCUUCAGCACUCUCUGCCAGCCAAUGCAGUCCUUCAUACCCACUACUGCCCCUGUCUGCAGAGGCCGCUGAGGUCCCAGCCAUUCCCGUGUGUGCCCAAGUUUGAACUGCUCCCAAGCUGAGUGUGCGUUUGCGAGAUGGUGCAGGUGGCUCCUUCUUUUUUGCUGAAAUUUUUCUCUUCAUUCUCGUCAUGGGCUUCAAUUCUCACUUUGGUUCCUUUGUGGGUCCAGGGGACCCACUUCCCUUCACUUUGUCUUCUCAUGUUGCUAUAUUCCAGUGUCUGGACAGCAACUCUCUGAGAGGAUCUUUCUCUGCUGCUUAUUCCUCCACCGUCUUGGUCUCCCCCGACACCAUCGUGUUUUACAAGCACUCAGCCACAGGCACACCCGUGUAAUGUGUCCACACCCAUUACAGACACCAGUGCUCCAGUGGCUUUGGAUCCUGAAGUGCACAGUUCUUCUUUGCAGUGGCUGGGGACACAUAGCCUGGACCUCCCUACUCCUCCAGCUGGGUCCUUCCACAGGACCUUACCUCUUUGGUCAGUUUUUAGGCCAUCUGAUGACCAUUACAACUUUCCCCUAAAAUUUGCUUCCAAACAAUAAAAAACAUAAGGAUUGGCUUAUACUCUCAUGGAGUUUCACACACACACACACACACACACACACACACACACACACGCCAGCUAUGAUGUCACUGGGGAUAGGAGACUUUAGCAUCACUGCAGACUGAUGAGACCAUUGUCAUACCUGUGAUCUGUCACUAACCUUAUGUCAUUGGGUGGCAGAUGACCACCUUAUGUAUAAUACUUAUCUCCAGGUAAGAUGGGUACAGGCCCUUGCAGUCCACCCAAAGGAAGGACGUUUGCUUUCCAGGCUUUGCCUCUUAAACUUCAGGUACCCACUUUGAUCCAAAUAGGGAUGAUGGAGACACCCAGUGUUGGCAGUGAAGAGCCCUCUCGGUGACCUGGGGCCACAGGGCCCAGAGGAGGAAUGACAUCCUGAAGACUUCUCUCCUUUCACCCCACCCUGUCCUCUCUUAGGUGACCCAAGGGCAGAAGUGAGAAACUGAGCAGACACAACUGUUGCUUUGCUGAUGCAGAGUCUUCCUCAGCAAGAGGUGCUGUCCUGGCCCAAGUCUCACCCUGCUAAGGCACAGCCCAUUCAGCAGACCCUGACUGUGGGUUGCAGGCUGGGUCUCCUGCCUCUGGCAGUUCCCACUCCCCAGGUCCUGGCUGCACCCAGUUCCACUCCCCUCUGCUCUCUCCUGCUCAUGGAGGUGUUCUGGAGCCCUGCAGCCUCUCUGUGUUCCACACAGGCUGUUGCUGGGACCUCGGAGAGGAGAGCAAGGGAUCUGCAGGGAGAAGGAGUGGACAGAUAGUGCUGGAGACGGGAAUCGAGUUUUCCUUAUUAAAGGGCCCUGGUAACUCCUGCUGUUGGAUACUACAUGGCUUAUGGUUCUCUUUUUAGUGAAUAAAGGAAAGAAUUAGUGACCUGUUAAGAAGAAGAAGAAA
This is a long non-coding RNA of Cavia porcellus (domestic guinea pig), 2903 nucleotides long. RefSeq lists it as uncharacterized. The record is from RefSeq and is a predicted model, not a curated record. The transcript is spliced from 3 exons. Lineage: Eukaryota; Metazoa; Chordata; Mammalia; Rodentia; Caviidae.